This 488-nucleotide long non-coding RNA is filed under the name Homo sapiens (human). Its description in RNAcentral is "HSALNT0103525". Lineage: Eukaryota; Metazoa; Chordata; Mammalia; Primates; Hominidae. The record is from RNAcentral.
CAAAGUUGCUCAAGGUCCAGUAACUUCUGGAAGCCCAAGAGAGAGCUCAUAUUCAGAGGACAGGAAGACAAUUCCAGACCAUUGGUCCACAGAGGUGUCACCUGUCCUUCUGUGUCUGUGUCAGCCUCACUGCCCCCUGACUUACCCCUGCCCCCAGGAAAAAUGUCACAGCUGACAUUUGGAGCAUAGCAGUCGAUGAUGCCCACACAGACACUGCCUGAGACUCACGCCCCUGGAGAAACGCAGAUUUCCUUAUUUUCCAGGUCAAGUCCUGCCAGCCAUAGAAAGGACUUCUUUGGUGCCAACUGCUGUGAAAUGCCUGCCUUGGAAAUCUCAGUGCUCCCUUGUACCUGUCUGAGCCCAGGGAAAUGCCAUACUGUGGCACUGCUGCAUCCUGUAUGGCUACCCAAGGAUGCCCAGGACUGGGUUUGAAAGAGAUGAGACAUGGCCAGGUGCCGUGGCUCACGCUUGUAAUCCCAGCACUUUGG